CCUACGGGUGGCAGCAGUGAGGAAUAUUGGUCAAUGGCCGCAGGGCUGAACCAGCCAAGUCGCGUGAGGGAUGACGGUCCUAUGGAUUGUAAACCUCUUUUGUCAGGGAGCAAAGGGCGCCACGUGUGGCGUUUUGCGAGUACCUGAAGAAAAAGCAUCGGCUAACUCCGUGCCAGCAGCCGCGGUAAUACGGAGGAUGCGAGCGGUAUCCGGAUUGAUUGGGUUUAAAGGGUGGGCAGGGGGACUGUAAUGUCAGGGGGAAAAUUGCGGGGUUCAACCCCGUCGUGCCGUUGAAACUGGCGUUCUUGAGUGAGCGAGAGGUAUGCGGAAUGCGAGGUGUAGCAGUGAAAUGCAUAGAUAUCACGAAGAACUCCGAUUGCGAAGGCAGCAUACCGGCGCUCAACUGACGCUCAUGAACGAAAGCGUGGGUAUCGAACAGGAUUAGAUACCCCAGUAGUC
This 459-nucleotide ribosomal RNA is filed under the name uncultured bacterium. RNAcentral describes it as "partial 16S ribosomal RNA". It matches the Rfam family "Bacterial small subunit ribosomal RNA", at positions 338 to 795 of the family's 1533-position model. The record is from RNAcentral.